This 475-nucleotide ribosomal RNA is filed under the name uncultured bacterium. RNAcentral describes it as "bacterial SSU rRNA". It matches the Rfam family "Bacterial small subunit ribosomal RNA", at positions 18 to 518 of the family's 1533-position model. The record is from RNAcentral.
ACUGGCUCAGGAGUAACGCUGGCGGCGUGCCUAAUACAUGCAAGUCGAAUGGUUAGCUUGCUAACCAUGGCGAACGGGUGAGUAACACGUAGGCAACCUGUCUAAGAGACGAGGAUAACCAUUGGAAACGAUGGAUAAUACUGGAUAGGAUAUUGGAAGGCAUCUUCUGAUAUUUAAAGAUUUAUCGCUAAUAGAGGGGCCUGCGGCCCAUUAGCUAGUUGGUGAGGUAACGGCCCACCAAGGCGAUGAUGCGUAGCCGGACUGAGAGGUUGAACGGCCACAAUGGGACUGAGAACGGCCCAUACUCCUACGGGAGGCAGCAGUAGGGAAUUUUCGGCAAUGGACGAAAGUCUUGACCGAGCAACGCCGCGUGAACGAAGAAGUAUUUCGGUAUGUAAAGUUCUUUUAUUUGGGAAGAAAAUACAUUGACUGUACCAAAUGAAUAAGCUCCGGCUAACUACGUGCCAGCCGCAGC